This 309-nucleotide ribosomal RNA is filed under the name uncultured Cronobacter sp. RNAcentral describes it as "bacterial SSU rRNA". It matches the Rfam family "Bacterial small subunit ribosomal RNA", at positions 505 to 812 of the family's 1533-position model. The record is from RNAcentral. Lineage: Bacteria; Pseudomonadati; Pseudomonadota; Gammaproteobacteria; Enterobacterales; Enterobacteriaceae.
GUGCCAGCCGCAGCGGUAAUACGGAGGGUGCAAGCGUUAAUCGGAAUUACUGGGCGUAAAGCGCACGCAGGCGGUUUGAUUAAGUCAGAUGUGAAAUCCCCGGGCUCAACCCGGGAACUGCAUCUGAUACUGGUCAGCUGGAGUCUCGUAGAGGGAGGUAGAAUUCCAGGCGUAGCGGUGAAAUGCGUAGAGAUCUGGAGGAAUACCAGUGGCGAAGGCGGCCUCCUGGACGAAGACUGACGCUCAGUGCGAAAGCGUGGGGAGCAAACAGGAUUAGAUACCCUGGUAGUCCACGCUGUAAACCGAUGU